AGUAGGGUCAGCUAAACAAGCUAUCAGGCCCAUACCCCGAAAAUGCCACCAGGCCCCUACUA
RNAcentral lists this transfer RNA (62 nucleotides) under Opisthotropis kuatunensis (Chinese mountain keelback). Its description in RNAcentral is "tRNA-Met". Lineage: Eukaryota; Metazoa; Chordata; Lepidosauria; Squamata; Natricidae. The record is from RNAcentral.